UGGGCAGUACUGGACUUGAACCAGUGACCCUCUGCUUGUAAGGCAGACGCUCUACCACUGAGCUAACUGCCC
This 72-nucleotide transfer RNA is filed under the name Saccharina sp. ye-B. Its description in RNAcentral is "tRNA-Val". Lineage: Eukaryota; Phaeophyceae; Laminariales; Laminariaceae. The record is from RNAcentral.